RNAcentral lists this ribosomal RNA (253 nucleotides) under uncultured bacterium. Its description in RNAcentral is "partial 16S ribosomal RNA". It matches the Rfam family "Bacterial small subunit ribosomal RNA", at positions 524 to 776 of the family's 1533-position model. The record is from RNAcentral.
UACGUAGGGAGCAAGCGUUGUUCGGAUUUACUGGGCGUAAAGGGCGCGUAGGCGGCAAUUCAAGUCAUCUGUGAAAUCUCCGGGCUUAACUCGGAACUGUCAGAUGAUACUGCUUUGCUAGAGUGCAGAAGGGGCAAUCGGAAUUCUUGGUGUAGCGGUGAAAUGCGUAGAUAUCAAGAGGAACACCUGAGGUGAAGACGGGUUGCUGGGCUGACACUGACGCUGAAGCGCGAAAGCUAGGGGAGCGAACGGG